AAAAAGGGAAACCCUGGGUUUUCAUGUCUAACUUUAAUUGUCCGUCUUAUAUAAUAUAUUUUUAUAAUUCGUAUUUUCGUUGUUGCUAGAUGAUAAAACAUGAUUAAUAUUUUAUACGCGACUUGUCUUUUCAAUUUUUUUUAUAAUUUGUUUAAAUAAGAUAGACGGUCGGAAAUCAGGGUUUAUA
Molecule: microRNA precursor, 187 nt
Filed under: Oryza barthii
Lineage: Eukaryota; Viridiplantae; Streptophyta; Magnoliopsida; Poales; Poaceae
Description: MIR812 microRNA precursor family
Rfam family: MIR812 microRNA precursor family
Source: Rfam by way of RNAcentral